This 19370-nucleotide long non-coding RNA is filed under the name Setaria viridis. RNAcentral describes it as "long non-coding RNA (SVIR_LNC008642)". The record is from RNAcentral. Lineage: Eukaryota; Viridiplantae; Streptophyta; Magnoliopsida; Poales; Poaceae.
UCAAACAUAUUGGCCAUCAUCGGCCGCCACCACCCUUUUCCAAUGCACGGGUGCUCGUUGAUUAGAAGUUCAGUAAUAAUAUUUGUUUGUUUGGUACGCACAUUACAUACAGAAGUUAAAAAUCAACAGAACCUCUGACAUCGAUCGAUCUCAUCUCAUAUGAGUGCCCUAUGCUAAUACCCAGCAUAGGAAUUAGGAUAGAAUUACAUUUGACGUUGGUGAAGAGAAGUAGGAACAAUAUUAUUGUGGCGGUAGGAGUCCCGGCUCUGGACCGAUGACUUUGUGGUGACGAUGACAAGUAGAUAGCUGAAACUAAGGGCAAGCAGUGUUGGGCACCACGCCAGUGGUGCAGCCAGUGUAGCAGGUCGCUCCACAUGGCUGUAUGACCUUGGCCUCGCAGAGCUCCUUCGUUGGGCACACGAAGGUGGUGAUGCUCCUGCAGGUGGCUUGAGCGAAGAGCCUGCACGCCGUGCCACAAUCCUCGCGGCAAUCCUGCAUCGUGUCCGCCAUCGCUGGCAGGCCAACAGACAUCAGGAGCAGCGCGACGCAGAUUGCGCCGACGCCUGCGUGCAUCUUAGCAAGCGGUGCUCCUGGGGCGGGGCCGGUGGACGCCAUUGAUGAACGGAGAAGAGGAGUAGCACUACUGCUGUAGCAGGAGACGAUGGCAGUCUGGAGAUAGACGAGCUUGCUAUCCGGUGAUGCAACUUACUAUAUGGUGGUGCCCAUCUGAUGAUGGGCCUGCUACGAUGCAUUUUAUUUGCAGAGAACGUGGGCAAGAUUGGAACACGAAGUUUUGCAAGUUGCAUGGCCGCUGUCGUGCGGUACAAGUUUGGUGUAGAAAUAUUUAUUGAUAUACAUAAAUUUAUGAAUAAUUUUUAAUUGCAUGUAUUACAAAUUUGCAUAUUAAAAGCGAUGAACAACAAUGAGAACAAUACUGAAUUCGCCAAGGAGGAUUCUGAUUCCGACGACGAUUGUGUAUCGUAUUCUACUCCACCUUAGUACGAACCAAGCCCACCUAGGACUCGUAGGUGUCUAGAUGAAGAUGAUCCGGAUCAUCAGGUACCUGCAUGCACAUUCAUAUACUAGUUGAUGAUGCGUUUGUUGUUUACAUGAAGAUAAUAAACUCCAACUAUUGUUUUCUCUAUAGAACGAUGAUCAAUCUUCGAUUUAUUUGCCACCACGAUGUCGUAGAACAUCUACUCUGCAUGAAGGUGAGGUAGCUACCUCUGUACCACAGCCUUCGGCUACAACUGCUUCCACUAGUAAUCUGAAAGGCAACAUGGGAAAAGAAGCCGAAACCAAAUCCCUGAAAAAGGUUCAUUCAAUGCGAGAUUUGUCAUGAGUAUGGAGCAUUCUUUGAUAAAGAUGGCGUGUUGAUGGCGGACGAAUGCAAAGGUCUUCGUAGAUGGACUAGUUUUAAUAUUACCGUGGCAAAGAAUAGCUCUAUUCCAAAUAUUGAAUUUUGUGAAUUAUUUAUUAUUCAAGAUGGUUGAAUAAUGUGAAUUAUCUAUUAGGUACGAUAUAGUUUUUAAUAAUGUGAAUUAUUUAUUAUUUAAGUUUGUUGUUACAUCGUUGGAGAUACAUAUUUAAAUUUGAUGGUCAAAAACUAGCGGGAAAUAGAAAUAAUAUAUUGAAUGGAAAAACACAUAUUCCUAGUGGGUGGCACCACCUGUCAGCACAGAAACCAUAUGUGUGCCAUGCUGGCGGGUGGCUAACGCCGCCCACCAGCACAGAUGCCAUUUAUGCUGGCUCAAGAUUGCUGGCGGGUGCUCGACCCGCCAGCACAGACCACUCUUACCCACCAGCACAGAUAUUUUGUGACCCUAGUGGUGAUGAUGCGAUUUAUAGGGACCAAAUGCAGCAAUAUUCGAAUUCACAAUUAUGCAAGUCGCAGGCAGCCAGGUCGAUCGGCCUCACGCAAUACCUAGUUGACUUGAGAACAUGAACGAAUAUACAAUUUAGCAUGUGCUCCCGUUAUUCCUGGAUCCUGAUAAGGACGGCCACAUAACAGAAACUAUACUUAUUUUAUAUCAUCAACCGGUCAAUGGGGGCAAAGGGGAUAUGAAAACGGGUAAACACUCGCAUGUCAUCAUCGAUCAAAUUCUUAAACAGUGCAGUUAAUGUGCACUAAAUUACAGACAAUCUUGUGGGUUUGGAGCAUGUGAGAUCAUGAUAAAGUACACCGAGAACUGUUUUUGAAACCACAUGGUAUCAUGCCACUCAAAUCCUUGCUACGAAAAAUAAAGACCCACCAUUAUCUAAUCGUUAUUGUAAGGACUGUGAUUAAUUAUUUUUGUUAACCUUGUAAAAGUCUAAUUAAAGUCCACUGCACCCUUGCGCUUUUAAUAUGAUGGGUGCAUGUGAGGUCUCCAUGUGAACGAAGAGGCGGUGCACUGGAAACUUAUCCAGACUCCCAAAUUAAUCACCAUAGAUCCAAUCCAAUGGUAAUCUAAGCUACACAGCACACAUCAUAGCAUAAUUAGUGAUGUUAAUAACGUGCAUAAGCAAGAAUCUAGCUGGAGACUAAACUCCGUGUAAUUAUAAUAGUCGUGCACGCUUAGUCCGAUCCUGAUGGGCGGCUCCGUAGAUUGUGACGGCAUUUGGAGGGGAGAGGUGAAGGAGGAAGCUACAAAAGGGAAACAAGAAGAAAAGAAGAAGGAAUGGUAUAAGCCUUGCAUUUGUAAAUACGGAUCUAAUACUCCCUCCGCCCUAAAAUAGAAAGGAUUAUGAGUUUGAUAAAAUUUAUCAGAAAUAACAAUAAUAUUUACGAUAUCACAUGAGCAUAAUUAUUAGACCAUUUUGAAAUAUAUUUUCAUAGUUCAAUAACUUGAUGUGGUAGGUGUUAAUAUACUUCUCUAUAAACUUAUUGAAACUCAUAAUAGUUUAACUUCAAAUAAAUUCAGUAUCCCUUUAUAUUUUAGGGUGGAGAGAGUACAUGAUUACAAAUUGGCACAUAUUGAUGCAAACUUGGGGACACAUAUUAUUCUUCCAAAACUAUAAAAUGCAUGAAUUAUUCUUUAAUUCUUAAGAGAUGAAAGAAAGCCAUAUGAUCUGAAGAGGUACAACAUAUACAUAUUGGCAAGUUCGAAUCAGUUAGCUAGGUUCAUGGUAUUGAAAUAGUCACCGGUAGAAAACUCGCUUUCAGUCUCGGUUGGUAGGGGCCAUAUCUCUCUAAAAAUCAUCCGUGAUAUAAUUUUGGAGACUAAAACGGGUCUUUAGUCCCAGGUCAUUCAACCGGGACUAAAGACCCCCUUUAGUCCCGGUUGGUAAAACCAACCGCUGCCACGCCAGGCGCGGGACGGGCCCCUUUAGUCCCUGUUGGUGGGUGCCCCUUUAAUGCAUGAAAUUACAGGCGCGCGCCUGCAUGGCGCAUGUAAUUUCAUGCAUGCAUCAUGUACCCUUUUGUAGUUAAGACUUUUCUUUAAGUAAUAAAAUCAAACUAGUAUUUAUACAAUUACUAUAUAUACAAUUCUUAGCAUACUGUACAAAUCUUAGCAUAUUAUACAAAUCAAACUAUAGUAUUUUUAUAUAUAUAUAUAUAUAUACAAAAAUUUUUGUAGAGGUGUUGCUCGGUGCGUCUAAUUUUCGUCCAUCGUAAUAAAAUUCUCCUUGUAGAUUUACCACCUCGUCCACUAGGAUUCCUACGAGACCUUCACAUAUUGCCCCUAUUCUUUUCUUCUCCAAGAGUUUUAGUUGAAUAUUAAGCAUUUGUAAUUUGAAAAUAUGUGAAUGUUACACAAAUAAUCAAAUAAGCAUCUGUACGUGUGGAUCCUGGAUUCAAAGUGCUGCCACCACUCACUAAGAAAGAGGUUGGAAGACAAAGGAAACUCAGAAAACCUAGCUGCAUUGAGAACAAGGGAAGCAAGCCCAGAGGCAAAGGCAUGUGGCAGGUGAAGCGUCAAAAUUGCUUGGGUCCUGGCUGUAGGACGACAUCCCCAAAGUGCCCUCUCAAAGGAACAAAGAACAUGGAAUGUGUAUGCCUUUUUUGAACUAACUCGUACUUGCUUCAUAUUUUGAAAUUAUCUCAAUUUUACAUUUACUGGAAAAGUCAGGCCAAGAAAGGGAAGGCAGGUAGGCCUGCUGGUUGUACCAAAGGUGAUGCAGCUCCUAGUCCAUCCAAAAGGCAGAAGGUUCAUGUGCAAGAAAAUUCAGUGAAUAAUAGUCUUGGACUUGUGGAAGAACUAGAAGGCAUAAGUCAAAUCAACACGAGUCCCAGGCCUGUUACAAGAAGGUGAAUUUCUAUAAACCGAACAUUAGCUUGGAACUUGGAACACUAGUCUGUUUUUUUGCUAAACAUUUGUCUCCCUUUUUAGCCAAUUGCAAUUAACAACGAUGGAACUUGGAGGGACAAAUUAGAUCACUACAAGCCCUAGAGCAGUGACAAGAAGGUAAAAUGAUUCACUUUAUUUAACAUAUAUGUGCUUAUUAUCUUAGUUCAUGUACUAAAGCAUUCCAUUUUCCUAUGUGUUGACGCCUUUUCUGACCAACACACGAGUACGCUAGAUCGCGUAGGUCGCGAAUAGACCGAACAAUGGAGGUGUUGCAUAGGCCGGUCAGACCAGUCCAGCAACCCAAUUGUGGCGGAACCGCCCUAAUUAACUUAGUUAAAGCACAAUUAAGUUGCCUAACACGCGAUCAUGUGCUUUAAUCAAGUUAACUCGGCAGUCCAUCGGACUUCAUCUGAUAAACCACUCCACAGGACCGAGAAAGCAUAGCUCACACGAAGGUGAGUGGUUCCAGAGAAUACAAUAGAUCAUCCAAAUUAAACAAGUACCUUAAUUUAUUACAACAUCAGGUUCGAAAUUCAAACAUAGUUUGCAGAGUUCUUAAGCAGCGGAAAUAAACAGACGGAAGCUAGAGCCGAUGUCGGACGUCACGACGAGCCCGAUCAUGACAUCAAUGGUCCCUGUCCUCGCCGUCCGAGGAGGGAUCCUACUCAACCGUCCACCUAGGAGGAAGCUGGGGAGGCCAAGUGCCACUUGCAGCAAACUUAGAGACGUCAACAACACCUGAAAGAUGUGCCACAAGUAAGGCUGAGCAACUAUGCUCAACAAGACUUAACCGUCAGGUGGUAACUACUCCACCAACACCUAGACAUGCAAGGCUUUUUGGCUAAGGGGUUUAUUUUUACCAAAAACAACUAGUGUAGGUCCUUACUUUCCAUAUUUUAGCCACAAGUUCUACGUUCAAUUACCAAUCUAACUUAGCAGCUAUACUAAACAAGCAUAGUUUUCCAAGCAAUUAGUACAGAUAACCAUAUUAGAUCAUCAUCAUUUUUCAUUCUUACUCAGUGUAGCAUAGCGAUCAAGUAGUCUCAAACUGUGAGAGGCAGACGAAUCGAUUUGAAUUUCUUAACCAUGCAUGGCGAACCUAAUCUCACAACAUCCGCGCACCACGAAGUGUCGCUUCCUUUGUCGGCCGUCCCCAUCAAUCCCCAGACCCGUGUCAGGCCCACUUUCCUUGGUACAAGGCUCCACAGACCUAGCCUCUGCCAUUCUAUGAUCGCACUUGUCACCACAUGCGGCCGCAAGGGAACUUCAUUCCAGAGACAGUGGAUCGAAUCACUCACGUCCUGGUUCAAUCAGGUACUAGGCUUCCCCAUCCCAUACUAGGUAUGAGAUUAGUACUUUCAAACACUUGAUCACGAACACCAUCACUUUUCGACCUUAAUCUAAUUUCAUGUAGAUAGACGGGACAAUCCACCAACCACCAAAAUAGUUCACAGAGCCCUGCCCCAUCCAUCGUCCUUAUAGUUGUUGCAAAAAGAAAGAAGCAACUCGUGAGUGACAGGAAAUCACUCAACUUUUACCGAGUCCUACUUAAGCAUUGCAACUACUCGGCCUAUCAUACUAGUGUUCAGAUCAAAGGAAACUAAGUCAUGCAUCUACGGUUUCAAUCAACUCCUAGAAUGUAAAUGCACAAACAAGCAGUCACUUGUAUUGCAAGUAUUUAAAGAUAGGAAAAAUCAUGCUCCGGGGCUUGCCUUCAAGCGGGGCGGUAGCGAACUGGUCUUCGGCGUGCACGGGCUCGACUCCUGCAGGCGGCGGCUCAGCUACGGCUUCAUCUUCGGGCACUGGGCGCAGCUCGUACGUGCCGUCAGCGAUGUUCAACUCUACACGAGAUGCAAUGCAAGGGUAAGACGCUUAGACGGUGAUUUCAACAGUAUUUGCAUGGAUUUAAACCCCAAAAUUGUAGCAAAACUACAGGAAAAGGUACAAAACCCACUUGAUUGGAUUCUAUUUAGAACGAGGAUUCCAACCAAAGUGAUUUCACAUUUUUCUAAUUUUUCCUCGAUUUAAGAUGUAAUUUUCAGUUUCUGUCGAUUUCAUUCGAGUUAAAAGAGUCGGAUCGGGGAAACCUUAUGAUCUGACCCUUGGACUUAAGGAAUAACUCUACCAGGAUCCUCGGAUUUACACAGAGAAGUCCUUGGAAUUUUACACAGAUACCCUUGGUCAAAAGAAAAAGACACAACCGAGCCCUCGGGCGAGGCGGACAGCACUCAGGCGAGGCAGAUAGGGUUCGGUCGCUUUCGCAGAUGAUUCAGGGUCGGGAAGAGCUGGAAAGGGGUCGGCAGCUCACCUCCAGUCCUACUGAUGAGGUCUCGGGGUCACGAAGAAACAAGCUGAGGCAGAACGGGGAACAACGGCAGCUCGGGUCGGCGUCGCGGGAACUGGCGGCGUUUCAGCAGUGGUGGUGCUUCUGGUGGACAACAGGCAAGCUCUAGAGCUGCGCGAGAGGAUGGCGAAGCGGCUAGUGGGGUCGGCAAGGCGCGGGGUCGGGUGGAAGGGGGAGCUCCACGGAGAGCUCAGGCGGCGACGCUUGAGCGUGAAGCAGAGAAGUGUGCGGCGGCGGAACUUGGGCGCGUGGUGAGUGCGGUGGAGAAAAAACAGAGCAGGUAGUGCGGCAAUGGCGGUGGUGGCAAAGGGAACUCCGAUAAGAGGCUUUGGUGCCUUUUUAUAGAUGCGCGGAAGUGUUCAGAGGAAGGAAACAAGCUCGAGCGGGUGAGAGGGUAAGAUCGAGGGAGAAGGAAGUGCUCUGUCGCGGCGGCGGUUGGUCAGCGCCUCCAUUGGCAAGCUCGGACGAAACCUUGCCCUGGAUGGGCAGCAAGGAUUUGGGGCUGGGGGCAAAGCAGGUUUGCUGGGCACGCGGAUCUGCUAGGUCUGUGCGCGUGUGUGGUCGCGACCAUUAAUGGUGGCGGCGCCAUUGGCAGAUAGGAGGGAGGGAAGGGCACUGUAGGCGAGGGCGCGGCAGGCGAGGUGACAGGGCGAGCGGUGGGACGCGAGCACGCGCGGGACUAGCGGCUCUACCGGGGCAUGCUACUGGCGAGGCGGGGGAAGGAGCAGUCACUGCCUGUGCGGCGGUUGGCGAAGACGGUAGCGUCGCGGGGCGCGCGAGCGGGCAGCGCGACUGGGAUGUGACGGGAGGGUUGGAAGGCGUUGGGGCGCGCGGCCGGGGAUCCGGGUGGGGCGGAUGCGCAUGGGAGGCGAGGCGGCACCGGCGUGGCAGCGGCCGGUCUUCGGUCGCAGAGUGGCCGGGGCGAUGGCGAAGCUGAGGGCAGUGCGCCUGGCGUGGCUAGCGAGGACUCGAGCGGAACGAGAUGGGACAGAGUGGAGGACUCCAAGUCGUCAUCGCGCGCGACUGGGAAGCGAGGCACGUCGACCCAUCUUGUCGUGGCCGGUGACUGGGCGAGGAGGCGCUCGCCAGCGAGGUCACGCCACGCGGCGGCAGCGCUCUGGAGUGCGGCGCACGCGUGCUCUGGCGCUAUCUGGCCAACGGAUCCGCGAGAUCAUUUGUCAGGCCCAUCUUCCAACCUCUUGAUCUCCCGAUUUUCAAACUGCGCCACGUUGACUCCCUUUACAAGAGUUGUAGUACACAGACCAAGGUCCAACUUUUGUAAUUUGACUGAGUUCAAAAACAUGGUGGAUUUGGAGAUUCAAAGCUCCAAAGUUUGGAGGAACGCCGGUUUCCGGGACUCAGAGAAAAAUGGCGGUUUGGCUGGUUUUCAGGGUUCGGGGCUGAUUUGAGCUGCAGAUUUGGUAAGCUUCGGAGGUGAAUUGGACCAAGGUCCAAUUAGCAAAGUUGUUGUAGACACUUAGUUCUCCAACUUUUACAAAGAGACUUUCUGAUGUUCUGCUCAACUUUCAAAAGAUAAACCCGCCCUAAGGCGCCAAGUCGGGCUGUUUUCCAGACUUAGCCGGAAUUGCUAAGGAGGCUGAGCUGACCAAACUAGGGGACUUGACCUGGAUUUUGGGCGAAACAACACAGAUUGGUAUACCGGGUUUUUGAUGGGCUUCUUGUGAGGGGAAAAAGGGUACUUCCACUUGCCUGAAAGUUGCCAAAGGCUCUUCUUUAAGCCCAAAGGAAGAUGGUGAUGAUGCAAAUGACGAUGAUCAUGUUAUGAUGGAUGAUGAUUACGACCAUGAAGAUCAAAAUGGUGAUCAAACAUAUGUGCGUGUGGAACCACAGGUGGAUGAGGAACGUGAUGUUGAUAUGGAGGACAUGUUGCACCACAUUGAACCGGAAGUGUUGCUAGAGAGUGCUAAAGGGUUAGAGAAUUUCGAGACACUCAAGAAGGCAGCAAAGGACCAUGUGUAUGAGGGAUGUAGGAAGGAGUGGACAAUGUUGUGUUUCAUCCUUCAUCUUCUAAUCCUGAAGACUAAAUUCGGCUAGUUAGACAACAGUUCAAUGAUCUCCUUAAUCUACUGGGCAAGUUGCUCUUGAAGCCUAACUUUGUGCCAAAAAACACAUACGAAGCAAAGAAGAUUAUCAAUCAAUUGAAGAUGUGUGUGCAAAGAAUACACGUGUGCAGGAACCACUGCAUAUUGUACUGCGAUGAGUACACGGCAUUAGAAAAGUGUCCAAAUUGCGAUGCUAACCGUUACAAAAGUAAUGCCGAUUUCUGUGAGGACCGUGCCAGUUCUUCCAUUGAGAAUAAGAGGAAGAAGGUUGCAAAGAAAAGUACCGGUGCUCAACUGGAGGAUGAGUCCUGUAUAUAUACUGACAUGAUGACUCAGCGUAGAGUCUCUGCCUUGGUGAUGUGGUACUUGCCGGGGGCGGACCGUCUAAAGCGUUUGUUCUCAAACCCAAAUACCGCUGAAAUGAUGACUUGGCAUGCUAGUCGCCCAGUAAAGGAUGAUGGAAAUCUUUGAUAUCCUUCCUAUGCUCGCUAGUGGAGGACCUUUGAUGCCAAUCAUCCAGAGUUUUUAGAUGAAAAAGGAAUAUACGGUUCGCAUUAGUAUAGACGGCAUAAAUCCGUUUGGUAAAAGAAGCAGCACGCACAACACAUGGCCAGUGCUGAUGACCAUAUACAACCUUCCCCAUGGCUAUGUCACAAGAGAAAGUUCCUUUUGUGUACCAUUGUCAUACAAGGCCUGAAGCAGUCUGGUAUCAACAUAAAUAUUUUCCUUGAGCCAUUGAUAGAAGAUAAGCAGAAGCUUUGAGAAGAUGGGGUUUGGAUGUGGGAUGAGUACAGACAUGAUCACUUCACACUAAGGGCCAUUAUCUUUGUUACCAUCAAUGAUUAUCCCACCCUAUUUGCCCUGAUAGGUCAGGUAAAAGGUAAGACAGCAUGCGUAGUUUGCUUGGAUGGAACAUCAUAUGUGUACCUUAAGAGAUCUAUGAAGAUAGUGUUCAUGAUGCAUAGGUGCUUCUUAUUGAAGACGCACAAAUUUUGUAGGAUGAAGGACUUUUUUGAUGGCACCAAUGAGAAUGACUUUGCUUCAAAACUAGCUACUGGUAAAAUAGUAUUUGAAAUGUGCGAGAAGGUCAAGUUUAAACUCGAUAAGAGUCAUUAGGUGAUUGAUAAUUCGAAAAGGGGAAGGAAGCGGGCUGAAACUAUAGACAUCACAGAUGUGCAGUUUAAGAAGAUGUCUAUCUUAUUUAAGUAUUUGCCAUACUGGCGAGAGCUGGCGAUGCGCCAUGCCAUUGAUGUGAUGCAUCUUCAGAAGAAUGUGUUCGAUAGCACCAUCGGAUUCUUGGGCUUAUCAGGCAAGGCAAAGGACGGACUAAAAUCACGUAAGGAUCUAGUUGGCCUUCAAAUCAGGCUAGAGCUCCACCCGCAAGAACUAUCUAAUGGUAAGCAUUAUCUUCUCCUGGCUAGCUACAACUUAACACCAGAUGAGAGAUUGACUAUGUGCAAGUGCUUGCGCAGGUUGAAAGUGCCGACCGGAUUCUCAUCAAACAUAUGGUCAUUAGUCUCAUUGAAGGACAUGACGCUUGCUGGCUAUAACUCUCAUGAUUGCCAUGUGAUGAUCACAGUUUUUCUCGCUAUUGUGAUCCAAGCUAUCAAACUAGUAUUCAUAAAGAUGGUUAUCACACGGAUGAGUUACUUCUUCAACAUGAUUUGGCAGAAAGUGAUUGAUUGUGUCGAGUUGGUUAGGCUUCAACUUUUUGUGUCGGAAACUUAGGCCCAGCUCGAGAUGUGCUUCCCUCCGUCCUUUUUCGAUAUCAUGGAACAUGGAACAUCUCAUGGUCCGCAUGGUCCAGCAAAUAACUGAACUGGGGCCUAUAUACUUCCAUCAAUGGAUACAUGAGAAACAAGGCCUUUCCAGAGGGCAGCAUGAUCGAGAGCUACCAUACAGAAGAGAGUGUUGAUUGCUGCAUAGAUUACACAAAAGAUAAGAGAUCUUUUGGUUUACCGGAAUCUCAACACGAGGGCAGAUUAUCCGGGAGAGUACCAUUGGAAUGAAAAGAUUCAUAGACAAGGACAAGAAGUAAUUGCAGAAAGCGCAAUCAAACGUUCUACAACAGUUUGCAAUAGUGGAGCCGUUCAUCGAGCAACACCUAAAUGAGGUAUGUGGAUAAACUAAUGGUCGCUAGGAGGAUUGGAUCAUCAAAGAGCAAAAGCGUCAUUUACCAUCAUGGUUGAAGGACCAUGAGCACCUAUUUCAAGGAAAUUCCAUAGAAGAAGUAACAUUGACAAGGCUGGCGUUUGGGCCAUCAAGCAAUGUCACCUCGUGGCAAGCAUAUGAAAUUAAUGGAUACAUAUUUUAUACCACCGCAAAGGACAACAAAAGCAUGGUGUACCAAAAUAGUGGUGUUCGCAUAGAGGCGAUUGAUACAUCUGGACAAAACAUAACUUACUACGGUUUCAUUGAGGAAAUAUGGAAACUUGACUAUGGAGAGAAUAUCUGGAUCCCCGUCUUUCGGUGCCAAUGGGUCAAACACCCUAAUGGUGUUACAGAUGACAAUUAGGAGUUGACACUUGUAGACCUAGCCAAUCUAGGUUACAAAGAUGACCCAUGGGUACCCGCUGAGCGUGUCGCACAGGUAUUCUACAUAACCGACCCUAUGAAUGCAAAGAAGCACAUUGUCAUCUCUGGAUAAUAAAGGUUCCUUGGAGUUGAAGGUAUAGUGGACAAUGAGGAUUACAAUCAGUAUGAGGAUUUGGACAUUUUCAAAGACCAUGAACCAAGAAUCAAGCAUGUUGAAGCAAGCAUUGAUAAGUCCAUGAAGCCAUGGUUACGUACUGACUAUGACUAUGAAGGAAGAAUUGUUAAAGGAUAAAUUAACAUUUCAUAUGAGUUAUGUUGUAAGACUUAUUAAUAGUCUUGUAAGACUUAUUAAUUAUCUUGUAAGACUUAUUAAUAGUCUUGUAAGACUUAUUAAUUAUCUUGUAAGACUUUAUUAAUGUGGAUUAGACUUUAUUAUCUUGUAACUGACUGCCAGCAUAAGAAAAGGGUAGGGGUACAUCUAUGCCAUAAUACAAUAUAACCAGUUUUGAUAAUAAUGCAAGUUAUUACAUCAAUACUUAAAGGUCCUAGAGAGAACAAGUUCAAAUGUAUAAGAAAAGGGUAACAGUACAACCAUGCAUGUUACAUAUUUCAUACUCCGGCUCGCUUCCUUAGAUAUGGAAUAUAGCUAAGGUCUCUAAUCGUCCAGCCAAGAACUUCAUCAAAAUAAGUUUUGAGCACGGAUGAAUGCACUCUCCUUCGCUUCACAUGGACGACCACAUACACUACUAUAAAUGGAGAACAUUGGAGACGUUAACUGAUGUGGCCUAUAGAAAGUGAGAUGAGCCUGGAACUUCAAAUCUAGGGUGAACAUUGGGUCUCCACCCAUGUAAGUUAAAUCAAACUUUUCCAAGGCUUGAUCCAGAAUCACAUGAAAGCUCACUUCCGCAAUGCUAGUACCAUUUAUAUCCUAUAAAAGAUGAUUAUAACAUGAUGAAGUUAAAAGAUGUAACAUAACUGUAGUUAAAAGAAUGAUAAAAGAAUGUUCCAUACCAUGUUAUGAAGCCGAGAAAGUCUCUCAGCAGUCAGAAUCACAUUGCUAGCUCCCUCCUCGAGCCAUGUAAUUCAAAAAUAUGAAAAGUCUGGCACAAAGUACCCAUGAUCCUUAAGCUGCUCUAGGAAGGCCUCCACGAUGGUCCUCUCAACCGUUACCUAGAUGGUGUUGUGCUACCCCAUGCGGCAAUUGAAACCAUUGGGAUGGCCUGUCCUGGUGACAACAAGGUGAAAUCUAGAUGUCGAACAGGUACUUGAAAAGAGAGAUAUUUUCUUUCCAUAUUUGGUUCACCUACGUCCUCGGUUUGCACCACAGGACAAGUACCACCUAAAGCUUUGACAACAUUUUUGAGCCAUCUAAUAUAAUUGAUAAGCUGCAUUGAGGUAAAUUUAGAAUUUAUUCAUGUGUAGUAACAAAAGCAAUUAAAAGAAGGAGAGAAUAUUACUAUGUUGGGAAUUAUUUCUCUGCUUCGAUCAACGAAUGCCAAAUCAAUGGGGCCAUGGAAUUGAAGUCUUGGAAGACUAGCGGGAGUGUCAUCGUGCCCGAAAUGUCACUUGCCACCUCCACGGCUGCCACCACCAUGGGGAAAAGAACUUCCACUUGCCAUAGUUAGCCCAAACUAUCCACAUAAAAUUUACAAAAUGCUCAGAAUAAAAUAUUAUCCAAAAUAAUGGAAGAAAUUUACAAUUGUUGGUUUAGAUCUCAUGAACAUUAUUAUAACUAAUUGUAACAUAUUUAUUAUCAUUUUGCAAUUGCAUGGAAUAAAAAUAGUAAAAGGUAACAACUUUUAAUUUCUCACACAAUCCUUAUGUAAACAAAAUUUACAGUCUAUAUGAAAAAAAAAAUUUAUAGUGGAAGCAAAUAAUUUAUAAACAAUAAUGCAAAACUUAUUUGAACAACAUAUACAUGUAAAUGAUUUACACCACAAGUAGCAAUGUCAAGUUAUAGCAAUUGCAAUGUAAGUAAAAUUCAUAUAAAUAACCAGAUAUAUGCUGAUAGAAUUUCAAUCAAAUAAUCAAAUCCACUUAAACAAAAUGAAAAAAAAUGGAAAAAACAUCAACUAGUCAUGGAGGAGGAUGGCGGCGCUCAGUGGACGCGGCAGAGUCUCGGGCAGGGAGGAGGGGUUGUGGCGCGCGGUGGCAGAUGGGGAGGACGGCAUCCCAGUGGGGAGCACAAUGCCAGGCCAACAGGCAGGCAGGUGGAUGACGCACGGUGGCGACGCUCGAGGAAGAGGAUGGUGGCAUGAGGGGGGCACGACGGAAUCCAGCAGUCUAACGACGUGUGUGGCAAAACCACUGGGAGUUAGAAAAAUUUGGUCCCCGGCUGGGGUUUACUUGUGGACACGUAAGUGCUGGCGGGCGCUAACACCGCUUGCCGACGCUGAGCCUCUGUGUUGGCGGCCCGCAUUAUAGCCCUCCGGCAUAGAAGAGCUGUGCAGGCGGGCUGCAUUAGCGCCCACCAGUGUAGUGGUUUCAAGAAAUUUUCAACUGAUUUAAAUCCUUGAUAAAUAAUUUCAAAAUUGUUUCAAACUUUUACACUUGAAUAGAAAUAUUAUUUAGUGAAUGUAAAAAAUAUAAUUUCAUACAUAACACAAAUGAGAAUGACUAGUUAGUUCAUUUGUCACUGUAGGUUGAAACACCUCAUGAGUUAUAGGGUGCUCAUGACUUGGAUAUCCAUUUGCAAAAGAUGCACUGUUACACUAUCUGAAAAUUGUGUUAAUAUUUUUGGUCCAAGUUGGUUCAUUGCUAAAGUGGUUACAUGCCAAAUAUCAUGAUUGUUCGACAAUUUUAUAUUUUAUAUGGUGAUGCAACUUACUAUCUGGUGGUGCCCAUCUGAUGAUGGGCCUACAGUGAUGCAUUUUAUUUGCAGCGAACGUGGGCAAGAUUGGAACAAGAAGUUAUGCAAGUUGCAUAGCCGCUAUCGUGCGGUACAAGUUUGAUAAAUUCAUGCAUAAUUUUUAAUUACAAGUAUUACAAUUUUGCAUAUUAAAAGCAAUGGACAACAAUGAGAACAAUGCUGAAUCCGCCGAGGAGGAUUCUGCUUCCGAUGAUGAUUGUGGAUCGUAUUCUACUCCACCUGAGUACGAACCAAGCCCACCUAGGACACGCAGGCGUCUAGAUGAAGAUUACCCUGAAUACGAUCCAACCGCGGAUCAUCAGGUACCUACAUGCACAUUCAUAUACUAGCUAGUGAUCCAUUUGUUGUUCAGAUGAAGAUGAUAAACUCCAACUAUUGUUUUCUCUAUAGAACGAUGACUAAUCCCUGGUUCAUUCGCCACCGUGACGACGUAGAACAUCUACUAUGCUUGAAGGCGAGGUAGCUACCUCUGUAUCACAGCAUUCGGCUACAACUGCUUCCAUCAUGAGGAUGCAGCAUUGUUUGAUAAACAUGGCGUGUUGAUGGCGGACGAAUGCAAAGGUCUUCGUAGAUGGACGUAGUAGUUUUAGUAUUAGCGUGGCAAAGAAUAGCUCUAUUCCAAAUGUUGAAUUAUGUGAAUUAUUUAUUAUUCAAGUUUGUUGAAUAAUGUGAAUUAUCUAUUACGUAAGAUGCUUUUUUUAAUAAUGUGAAUUAUUUAUUAUUUAAGUUUGUUGUUAUGUGGUUGGAGAUACAUAUUUAAAUUUUGCAGCCAAAAACUGGCGGAAAUAGAAAUAAUAAAUAAUUCAUGAAAAAUAACAUAUUGAAUGAAAAAAUACAUAAUUCAUUGCCACCCGCCAGGACAGAAAUCUCAUGUGCUGACGGGUGAUUUAACCACCUGCAAGCAUAGAAACCAUAUGUGCUGGUGGUGAUGUAAGCACCUCCCAGCACAGAAAGCAUUUGUGCUGGGUGGCUAACAUCGCGCAACAGCACAGACACAAUUUGUGCUGGUUCAAGGUUGCUGGUAGGUGCUCGGCCCGCCAGCACAGACCAUUUUUACCGAUCAGCACGGAUAUUUGGUGACCUAGUGGUGAUGAUGCCAUUUAUAUGGACCAAAUGCAGCAAUAUUCGAAUUCACAAUUAUGCAAUUCGCAGGUAGCCAGGUCGAUUGGCCUCACGCAAUACCUAGUUGACUUGAGAACAUGAAUGAAUAUACAAUUUAGCAUGUGCUCCCGUUAUUCCUGGAUCCUGAUAAGGACGGCGACGGAACAGAAACUAUACUUAUUUUAUACCUAGUUGACUUGAGAACAUGAAUGAAUAUCCGGUGAUGCAACUUACAAUACGGUGGUGCCCAUCUGAUGAUGGGUCUGCUGUGAUGCAUUUUAUUUGCUGUGAUGCAUUUUAUUUGCAGCGAACGUGGGCAAGAUUGGAACACGAAGUUAUGCAAGUUGCAUGGCCCCUGUUGUGCACUACAAGUUUGGUGUACAAAUAUUUAUUGAUAUGCAUAAAUUUAUGCAUAAUUUUUAAUUGCAAGUAUUAUAAUUUUGCAUAUUAAGAGCGAUGGACAACAAUGAAAACAAUGCUGAAUCCGUCGAGGAGGAUUCCGAUUCCGACAAUGAUUGUGGAUCGUAUUCUGCUCCACCUGAGUACGAACCAAGCCCACCUAGGAUAUGCAGGCGUCUAGAUGAAGAUGACCCUGAAUACGAUCCAACCACAGAUCAUCAGGUACCUGCAUGCAUAUUCAUAUACUAGCUAGUGAUGCGUUUGUUGUUCAGAUGAAGAUGAUAAACUCCAACUAUUGUUUUCUCUAUAGAACGAUGACCAAUCCCCGGUUCAUUCACCACCACGACGUCGUAGAACAUCUACUGUGCUUGAAGGCUAGGUAGCUACCCCUGUACCACAACAUUCGGCUACAACUGCUUCCACUAGCAAUCCGAAAAGGCAACGUGGGAAAAGAAGCAGAAACCAGAUCCCUGAAAAAAAUUCAUCCAACGCGAGAUUUGUCAUGAGGAUGGAGCAUUGUUUGAUAAAUAUGGUGUGUUGAUGGCGGGAGAAUGCAAAGGUCUUCGUAGAUGGAUGUAGUAGUUUUAGUAUUAGCGUGGCAAAAAAUAGCUCUAUUCCAAAUGUUGAAUUAUGUGAAUUAUUUAUUAUUCAAGUUUGUUCAAUAAUGUGAAUUAUCUAUUACGUACGAUGCAGUUUUUAAUAAUAUGAAUUAUUUAUUAUUUAAGUUUGUUGUUAGGUGGUUGGACAUACAUAUUUAAAUUUUGCAGCAAAAAACUAGCGAAAAUAAAAAUAAUAAAUAAUUCAUGAAAAAUAAUAUAUUGAAUGGAAAAAUACAUAUUCCUGGCGGGUGGCAUAAGUACCCGCCAAUACAAAAAUUUCAUGUGCUGGCGGGUGAUGUAACCACCCGCAAACACAGAAACUAUUUGUGCUGGCAGUCAUGGCAGGCCAGGCACGGUCCUAACACACGAGGUGGGACUCAGGACAAGACCUCACGGCGUUGGGCGGCCGUGAGGGCGCCCAACAGGUCGGGGAAAGUAGCAUGGAUCAACCCGGCUCCUGGUCAGAGCUCGCCAACCCACUCCAGGUGCGUCAACAAUAGUGUAUGUCCCGUUCUGUGCCACGGAAUCGACGGACGGGACGGAGGCAUGCCCCGGGGCAGACCACGACGCGCGUAAGCUCUUCAUGCCACACAGGGGCUGCCACACCAACUGUACAAACCCCAAGACCGAUGAGGAGAAUAGGACUAGAGGGUCCCACAUGAAGGGCCCCACGUCACCAGCUCAAGCCUUGCUGCACCAACAUGCCUACGUCUCCCGACCUCCGUGAACUGUCGCCCGGUCCCUAGCCUAGCCAGGCCUUCUAUCUCCCUCUCUGGCUUCCACAACCAACACACGCGCACACGCGCACUCAUUCUAUAACAUCUCAAUUUUCAUUUACAUUUAAAAUUUGGACCCAAAAAAUGUUUUAUUAAAAUUUCUCUAGCAAUUUAAACCAUAGAGCCUUGCGUUUGAAUCAUGCAUCAAAAUAUAGUUUUUCAUGAACAUAUAUGCAUAUGUUUGAGUUAACUAUUCCCUCUGUUCCAAAGUGUUCCACGUUAAUAUUCCUUUCAAACCCUUACACCAAAAUAUAUUCAAAUUUGAAAUUGCAUUUCAUAUUUGAACAUAAACACUUCACUAACUAAAAGAAAAAAAACAUUUAAACCUACUUGGACCAGCAACCUCGGAACCAGUCCCCUUUCUCCUUUUCGGCCCGGCCUAUCUCGCCCCUUCUCCUUCUCACGCGCGGGCCUAUCUUGCCCCUUCUCCUUCUCACGCACGCCACAGGUCGGCCCAAUAGCCAGCCCAGCUAUGCGGCCCGGUCCACUGCCCCGUCAUCUUCCACCUCCUGUUCAUCCCCCUUCCUCCCCUCCACCCGCGACGCCGCCGCAUGCCCGCGUGGCUAUAACCAGUCCGCGCCCCUAGCCACCCCUGCUGCCUCCUGACAUGCGCGCCGCCAUCGCCCACACCUCCGCCACGCUCUGCGCCACUCGAGGCUCCCUCUCCUUCCCAGGAACCCACCCCCUCACACGUACUCGCACAUGCACCGGAGCACGGCCGCCGACCACCUCACCUUGAUCUCCCUCAUCCUCGCCAGAUUUGCCUCCACGACGAGUGCGCCAUAGCCGCCUGCGCUAGGCGCAUUUAUUACGCCCUCAUCCCCCUGCCCAAGCCUCCUCCCCAACCUUAUCCGCCUCCAUCGCCGGUGCCGCGCGCGUCACCACCACCAUUGCGCCGGAGCCACUUAUCCCUGGUCGGGAUAAGCUUGCCCCUGCCCGCUCGAGCUCCCCAGCCACCCCGGCCGCCUAUAAAUCGCCUCCCCGCGCUCCCUUACCUCCUCGCACCACCUCUCCACUUCACCUCACCUCGCCGGAAUAGGACCCCAAGCCGUGCCCCCUCAUAGUGCACUCGAUCCAAGGAACACGACUCCUGCUGAAACUGAACGUAGGGAUUUUCCUGAACCAAUAUAAAUCCUUUGUUCUUGUGUACUAACCAUCGGAAGUGAGGAGAGCGCGACGUAUAAUCACUAGUUGGUGGUAUAAAACACCGACACUUACCCAUAAGCUUGUGUAACUCCCUGCAGAGUGGAGAACAAAGGAACGGAAGGAACGAUGAUUGAAAAUGCGGCUGAAUUGGGUAGCAUGCCAGAACCAAUAAUCUUAUGCGGUAGUCCAAAUGCUUAUUCCUUGAGGAUCUGCUUGCCAGAAAAGCUUCAUUCCUUGUCAACAUGCCCAUGGUUCAUGAACCCAAUGAUAAUGCAAGUAUGAAACUGUAACUGACUGGAUCUUUCUUCUAGUUGCAGAACACGACGUCUCGCCAGGGAAUUUCGUCAAACACCGUGCGAGCAGUCGAGCAGAGCGCAUGUCCCCGGAGUUGGCACAGGCAGUGAUGACAGAUGAGCCCAUUGGACACGAACAGAUCGGCCCCACGUAGGAUCGCAACAGCGUGGAACUCCCCGGCGACGAGUCCGGACAGCCACGGCCUGGACGCCGCGAGCGAGUUGAGGAGCGCGAAGAGCGUGAUCUCAUCCGGGGAGAUGCCGGAGGCCGCGAAGAAGCGGACCCCAGCUGAUGACUCGACGGGAAAUAGCAGAACGUCCGAACAGAGGGGAUCGGGAUAAGGAUCAACGGUGAAUCCAGAUGGACCAUGAGGUGGGCGGGCAUGGGCUGGGCGCACUAUAGGACCAAGCCCAUCCAGGACCAGAUGGAAAUCAAUUAAGAAAUUUAUUAAUUAAAUGGCGGGCUGCUUUAAGAUUCGUUCAAGAAGUAAAAAAAAAGGAGUAUCGAAGCAGUUCUCAAACAUAUUGGCCAUCAUCGGCCGCCACUACCCUCUUCCAAUGCACGGGUGCUCGUUGAUUAGAAGUUCAGUAAUAAUAUUUGUUGUUUGGUAUGCACAUUACAUACAGAAGUUAAAAAUCAGCAAAACCUCUGACAUCGAUCGAUCUCAUAUGAGUGCCCUAUGCAAUUAACCCAGCAUAGGAUAGAAUUACAUUCGAUCGAUCUCAUAUUAUUGUGGUGCAGCCAGUGUAGCAGGUCGCUCCAUGUAUGACCUUAGCCUCGCAGAGCUCCUUCGUUGGCCACACGACGGUGGAGAUGCUCCUGCAGGUGGCUUGAGCGAAGAGCCUGCACGCCGUGCCACAGUCCUCGAGACAACCCUGCAUCGUGUCCGCCAUCGCUGGCAGACCAACAGACAUCAGAAGCAGCGCCACGCAGAUGCUGGCGCUGACGACAGCGCCCAUUUUAACAAGCGGUG